RNAcentral lists this ribosomal RNA (465 nucleotides) under Triticum aestivum (bread wheat). RNAcentral's name for it is "partial small subunit ribosomal RNA". The record is from RNAcentral. Lineage: Eukaryota; Viridiplantae; Streptophyta; Magnoliopsida; Poales; Poaceae.
AUGGAUUUCCCAUCCUUCGAUGGAGAAAAUCCGCAGUUCUGGAAGACCAAAUGUGAAAAGUAUUUUGAUGUGUAUGGAGUGGCUCCGGAUCUCUGGGUUCGAGUAGCCACGCUGAAUUUCACAGGCACAACGGCCAGAUGGCUGCAACUUCAUGAGGCACAGAGUGCUUCGUUCACUUGGGCGUCACUCUGUGAGGUUUUGUGUCAUAAAUUUGGUAGGGAACAGUAUCAGUCCCACCUCCGUCAGUUUAACACCCUUCGUCAGUCAGGGACUGUGGCCGAUUACAUGACACGAUUUGAAGAAUUGAUGCAUCACAUAUUAGCUCACAACCCAGCGUUUGAUCCGGUGUAUUUUACUACCCAGUUUCUAGAUGGUCUUAAGGGAGAGAUUAGUGCUGUUGUUAUGCUUCAUCAACCAAAAGACUUGGACUCCACCUUUUCCUUGCUACAUUGCAGGAGGAGCUGA